This 622-nucleotide long non-coding RNA is filed under the name Penaeus japonicus. Its description in RNAcentral is "uncharacterized LOC122251356". The record is from RNAcentral. Lineage: Eukaryota; Metazoa; Arthropoda; Malacostraca; Decapoda; Penaeidae.
CGUCAACAACGACCUCGGCAACUGGCUCGGCAAGCUGGACUUCAAGACGGUGGGCCUCGUGGCUUUGGCGGCCUUGGUCGUCCUGUUCGUCCUUGACCUGUUCACCAAGAGCCCCACCCCCUUCGGCAGGAGUCUGAUGUCCUCCGCCGCUCACGCUUGGGACAGCGCUGGCCAGAUGGGGCUCAGCCAAUCCCUCCGUGGCAGCCGAUCGCUGGAACCCGUGGCGACUGUCCUGGACGCGCUGGCGGAGGCGGUGAAGAAGUGGGAGGCACCGGAGGACAGCGUCGUCAGACACCGAGCCUUCUGAGACGUUGAUUGCUGCUGAAAUGGGUCGUUUGAUCGUGGCCUUGUCUUUAACGUAAAUCUUGCAAUGUCAAGAAAGAAAGUACAAUAUCAUUACAUGCGUUUGCUUGCGGGCGAGCAAACUGUCUUCUUUCCGGCCAGUGUGGUUAGAUACCCAUGGUCAUCUUUAUGAUUUAUAUGUUUGUUUUUAUAACUUAUUCGUAACUGUUACUAUCAUGUUUGUCGUUAUAUCAUUCAUAAUUAUAUAUACAAUAUUUUGAGGCGUAAGUGCCUAGAUUAUGAAUGAACAACAACAGAAAUACAAAACUUAGAAUGAGAA